CACAAGCCCACCUAAAACUUGGGUAGGGGUAGGUGCAUUUUGCACUCGUUACACUUUAUCUUUCGUGGUAUGCAAACCAAUUUUCAUUUCUCGUACACAAUGCAAAAUGAGCUUGUGUGCAUUGCUGAUGACUUAUUUGAUCUAGCCGUCUACAUCAGCAUCUUGUGAUCCAGAAGAACUACAACUAUUUAUCAGCUAUUAUCAACGCUGGCAGGAAGCUCGCCAUGUCUACAACCAUCCCUGCUGUUGUUACUUUUGGUGGAAUGGAUAAGAAUCCCGAAGACUUACCAAGCUCUCCUCCAACACCCUUCACCAAUAUCGUCACUGUAAGCCUCCCAGAAUACUACAGUUACUAUGAAUACCCAGAGGGUGACUUCGGGAGGUGUGUGUAUGAGCGUUAUGGGGCCAAUUUUAUUCCCACACUCUAUGCCAUUUUCUCCCUCCUGGGCCUUCUGGGUAACUCUUUGGUCCUCUGGGUCAUUACUUGUGGCGUGCGACUCCGCAGCAUGACCGACGUGUGCCUCCUAAACUUGGCUAUUGCUGACCUUCUCUUGGUGUGUUCCCUUCCCUUCCUAGCCCACCAAGCCUGGGACCAGUGGCUGUUUGGGGAUGCUAUGUGCAAAGCGGUCCUUGGUAUUUAUAAUAUUGUUUUUUACUGUGGGAUCUUUUUCAUCACUCUAAUGAGCAUAGACCGGUAUUUGGCUAUAGUACAUGCCAUUUACGCCAUGAGAGUACGGACAAGGUCCUUUGGAAUAAUCGCAGCGGCUGUUACAUGGUUGGCUGGAUUUUUGUCUUCUUUCCCUGAAAUUAUAUUCCUCAAAGAGCAGCCUCGUGUGAAUGUUAAUGGGACUCAGUUUUUCUGCUACCCUGUAUAUCCCACAGCAACUUCGAAUGGCAACACCACUUCAUCCAACUCUCACAUCUGGAGCAUCUUCAGCCAUUUUAAAAUGAACAUUUUGGGUUUAUUUGUCCCGGUUGUCAUCAUGGGUUUCUGCUACUCACAGAUUGUCCGGAGGCUGCUGCACAGCCAGUCAUCCAAGAAACAAGCGAUCCGUUUAGUUCUUAUAGUAGUAGUUGUUUUCUUCUGCUGCUGGAUCCCCUACAACGUUGCAUCCUUCUUCAAAGCACUGGAGCUAUUGCACAUCUAUACAGAAUGUGAAAGCAGCAAAGCCAUCAGAUUGGCUUUACAAGUCACUGAGGCCAUUGCCUACUCUCACAGCUGCCUCAACCCCAUCCUGUAUGUGUUUGUUGGAGAGAAGUUCAGGAGGCACCUGCUAAGAUUGAUAAACAAGUCUCCCUGCAGGCUGUGCCAGAUGAUCAAAGUCUGCCUACCCCAGGACAGAAUCAAUGGGUCAGUCUACUCACAGACCACCAGCUUGGACGAGAGGAGCACUACUGUGUAAAGUGUGUUCCACAGACUGUAUAAAGGUGGGUUGUUGGGUGUGUUUCUAUAUUUCUGUCUGUGUGGUCAUCUGCACAAUGAGGGCGUUUCUUGUGGUAAUUCUCACUUCUUAUGGGCUAUUUUAGGACUUUAGUUUAAUAUGACAAAAUACAGUGUGACAAUGUGUCAGCUUGAGAGACACGUGAUUUUGUAAUAGAGUAACAUGCAAACACAGUUUACCUGAGUGUAAAGGUACAUGUCUUUAUGCUUGUAUAAGUGCUAUUGACCAAAUAAGUAAGGUUCCGGAUAUGCAAGAUCUUUAACAGAGUUGAUGAAGCAAAUUGCAUCUGCAAUUUUAAAGUAGGUGAGGAACUUUCCUGAAAUAAAUUUGGUCUUCUUUGUUUUAGAAAGAGACAAACUCAUGCCGACCAGUUCCAGGCAAACACCAUUAAGAAAAGUGCAACAAAUAGGUACAUAUAGCUAAUAGCUAAAGAAAAUAGCAAAACAUUUGCACAGCAAAAGGUGCCCAGUGCAGCUGGAAACCAAAGUAUUGCAAGUUUCAAAGCAUCUGUAACAGCAAAUUUGCACCUCACCUCAACCUAGAGAAAACCACAACAUGAAACAAAGAGGAAGUAUAUGUUGUCAGUUUAAUCUUUGCAGUCUCUUUGCAAAAAUUAGCAUAGUGCUCAAAUGUCAAAUUUUGGAAAUAUCUCUGCAAAAUUUCUAGUUAAUUUUAAUCAGCAUGUCACAAAAACAGGCAAUUUUCAAAUCAUUAUACUCUAAAUUCUAUCAUGCAGACUGACUAGCCAAGUGGAUAAUAUGCAUGCCAUAUCCUAAUUGCACCAUCCUCGGUUUGAUUCAAGUUGGGCACCUUUGUUAAACAUCACCCCACCUCAAGGCACUUCCUUAAUGUAACCCACAUAAUGGCAAAAUGCAAAAACAUAUUCGGCGCCUGGAUAGUCCGGUUGCGGGCGCCCUUAUAUAGAGGGCAUUUAUGACUCCUCAACGCAGCGAGCCCAGGUUUGACUCCGGCCUGCGGCCCUUUGCUGUAGGUCAUUCCCCCUUUCUCUCCCCUUUCAUGUCUGCUAUGUCCUAUUAAAAUAAAGGCUUAAAAUGCCCCAGAAAAAAAUCUAAAAAAUAAAUAAAUAAAUAAACAUGUAUAUAUUUCUUGAAAUAAAAACUCCAAGACAGCCAAGACAUGCAACUGUUUUCACACCCUAAGGUCUAACCUUCAGUAAUAAACUGACUUUGACGUAUGAAAUUGGUGAAGUGCCCCUUUAAAAGUACACAUUCUCAUAAAUGACAGUCGUAUUCUGGUCAAGAAUCCACCUGAAAUUAUGGAGUGGUCCCUAAAUGCUAGUGCUGUCAGUAAAGCAAAUCAUAUUUCCCAGGUGGGGCAGUUUCAACAUUUUCUCCGGCUGAAUAUAGAAAUGCAAAAAUUAAUCAAUUAGUUAAUUAAUCAACAAUGAAAAUAAUUGCAGCCAUUGCUGAAUUACAUCAUGCAAUAUUUCCAGUAUUUUGCACUUUUAUUUAUUUAUUCAGGGGGAGUAUACUGAGAGCAAUGCUCCACUGAUCAUAUUUACACAGUUACACAUUCACACCAGGCAGCCACCCAGUACAACAACAGUCUGAUCAGCUGAAGCAGUUGGGGUUAAGGGACUUGCUCAAGGGCACGUCAGUGGUGGUAAUGAGUGCUGACUUCCACUCUCCCCUCCCAGAUCUUAUCCUACCAUUUAUAGUAUUAUCAAGGGUUUCAUGGUGUCUUAACUAGGGCUGUAACGAUAUUCACUAUCAAAGUGAAUUUGCAACCCUCAGAUCUGCAAACCUGUGUC
Molecule: RNA transcript, 3213 nt
Organism: Etheostoma cragini (Arkansas darter)
Lineage: Eukaryota; Metazoa; Chordata; Actinopteri; Perciformes; Percidae
Gene: ccr8.2
Gene name: cabz01093075.1
Exons: 4
Source: RefSeq, a predicted model, not a curated record